AGUCGAGGGGUAGGGUAGCAAUACCUGAGACCGGCGCACGGGUGCGUAACGCGUAUGCAACCUACCUUUUACAGGGGAAUAGCCCAGAGAAAUUUGGAUUAAUGCCCCAUGGUAUAUUUUAGUGGCAUCACUGGAUUAUUAAAGUUCCAACGGUAAAAGAUGGGCAUGCGUCCUAUUAGCUAGAUGGUAAGGUAACGGCUUACCAUGGCUACGAUAGGUAGGGGUCCUGAGAGGGAGAUCCCCCACACUGGUACUGAGACACGGACCAGACUCCUACGGGAGGCAGCAGUGAGGAAUAUUGGACAAUGGGCGCAAGCCUGAUCCAGCCAUGCCGCGUGCAGGAAGAAGCAUCUAUGGUGUGUAAACUGCUUUUGUACGGGAAGAAACACUCCUACGUGUAGGAGCUUGACGGUACCGUAAGAAUAAGGAUCGGCUAACUCCGUGCCAGCAGCCGCGGUAAUACGGAGGAUCCAAGCGUUAUCCGGAAUCAUUGGGUUUAAAGGGUCCGUAGGCGGUUUGGUAAGUCAGUGGUGAAAGCCCUUCGCUCAACGGAGGAACGGCCAUUGAUACUGCCAGACUUGAAUUACUGGGAAGUAACUAGAAUAUGUAGUGUAGCGGUGAAAUGCUUAGAUAUUACAUGGAAUAC
Molecule: ribosomal RNA, 646 nt
Filed under: uncultured Bacteroidota bacterium
Lineage: Bacteria; Pseudomonadati; Bacteroidota
Description: bacterial SSU rRNA
Rfam family: Bacterial small subunit ribosomal RNA
Source: RNAcentral